CCCUUAGACGUUCUGGGCCGCACGCGCGCUACACUGACCAGUGCAACAAGCAUCCGUCCUUGGCCGACAGGCUCGGGCAAUCUUUGAACGCUGGUCGUGAUGGGGAUAGACUUUUACAAUUUUUGGUCUUCAACGAGGAAUUCCUAGUAAACGCAAGUCAUCAACUUGCAUUGAUUACGUCCCUGCCCUUUGUACACACCGCCCGUCGCACCUACCGAUUGAAUGGUCCGGUGAAGCCUCCGGAUUGGCGCGCACCUCGGUGCCGCCGAGAAGUUGGCUAAACCUUACCAUUUAGAGGAAGGUGAAGUCGUAACA
RNAcentral lists this ribosomal RNA (315 nucleotides) under uncultured eukaryote. Its description in RNAcentral is "partial 18S ribosomal RNA". It matches the Rfam family "Eukaryotic small subunit ribosomal RNA", at positions 1470 to 1796 of the family's 1831-position model. The record is from RNAcentral.